This is a long non-coding RNA of Maniola jurtina (meadow brown), 88 nucleotides long. RefSeq lists it as uncharacterized. The transcript has 3 exons. NCBI's taxonomy places the organism in Eukaryota, Metazoa, Arthropoda, Insecta, Lepidoptera, Nymphalidae. The record is from RefSeq and is a predicted model, not a curated record.
UGAGCGAGCGUUAACCAAUCAGAGGUGAUUGCGAUCGUGACAUUGUAGCUAUCAUUCUAUCGCAAUCGAGUCGACGUACUUUUGUUUU